UUAAGCUACAAAGGGCGUAGGGUGAAUGCCUUGGCAUCAAGAGCCGAUGAAGGACGUGAUAAGCUGCGAUAAGCUAUGGGUAGGAGCAAAUAUCCACUAAUCCAUAGAUCUCCGAAUGAGGAAACUCAACUAGUAACAAUAUACUAGUUAUCCAUACAUGAGUAAAGUAGUGUAUGAGAAGGGAACGUGGGGAACUGAAACAUCUUAGUACCCACAGGAAAAGAAAGAAAAUAUUCGAUUCCUAGAGUAGUGGCGAGCGAAAUAGGAAGAGCCCAAACUGUAAGUAGUAAUACAUACAGGGUUCGGACUGCAUAAUCGAUUUAAUGAGUUUAGUAGAAGUGUUUUGGAAAAGCACACCAUAGAUGGUGAAAGUCCAGUAUGCGAAAAGCGAGUUAACGAGGCAGUAUCCAGAGUAGCACGAGGCACGUGGAAUCUCGUGUGAAUGUGUGGGGACCAUCCCAUAAGGCUAAAUACUACUUGAUGACCGAUAGUGAACGAGUACCGUGAGGGAAAGGUGAAAAGAACCCCGGGAGGGGAGUGAAAUAGAAUUUGAAACCCUAUGUUUACAAGCAGACAAAGCACGUUAAGGUGCGAUGUCGUACUUUUUGUAGAACGGUCCAGCGAGUUAUUGUAUAUGGCAAGGUUAAAUACUAAGUAAGGUAUGGAGCCGAAGCGAAAGCGAGUGUUAAUAGCGCGUUUAAGUCAUAUGUAAUAGACCCGAAACCGAGUGACCUAUCCAUGGUCAGGAUGAAGCUAGAGUAAAAUCUAGUGGAGGUCCGAACUGAUUGUCGUUAAAAAGGCACCGGAUGAACUGUGGAUAGCGGAGAAAUUCCAAUCGAACUCGGAGAUAGCUGGUUCUCCUCGAAAUAGCUUUAGGGCUAGCCUUGAGGUAAAGACGUAUGGGGGUAGAGCACUGAAUGAGCUAGGGGCCUAACCAGGUUACUGAACUCUAUCAAACUACGAAUACCAUAUUGUUAUACUCAGGAGUCAGACUGCGGGAGCUAAGUUCCGUGGUCAAAAGGGAAAGAGCCCAGAUCGUCAAUUAAGGUCCCAAAGAUAUAGCUAAGUGGAAAACGAUGUGAUUUUGCGUAAACAACCAGGAUGUUGGCUCAGAAGCAGCCACUCAUUCAAAGAGUGCGUAACAGCUCACUGGUCGAGUGAAAUUGCGCGGAAAAUUACCGGGGCUAAGCUAUACACCGAAAUUGCGGAUUCAAGGAUUUAUCCUUGAGUGGUAGAGGAGCAUUCUGUUGUAGGUUGAAGUAUGACCGUAAGGACAUGUGGACGAAGCAGAAGAGAGAAUGCUGGAAUAAGUAGCGAGAGCAAGGUGAGAAUCCUUGCCGUCGAAAGUCUAAGGUUUCCUGGGGAAGGUUCGUCCGCCCAGGGUUAGUCGGGACCUAAGGAGAGGCCGAGAGGCGUAUCUGAUGGACAGCAGGUUGAUAUUCCUGCACUAUAGAUAUACUUAAAAGAUGCAAGGGACGCAGAAGUGGAAGGAAUGCGAGGAAGAGGAAAAACUCGUAUCGAAAGAUAUAGUGAAAAUAAAGUAACGAAUUUCCAAGAAGCACGCUGACGAGAAAAGCUUGUAGAUAUUGUAUAUAAAUACCCGUACCGCAAACCGACACAGGUAGAUGAGGAGAGGAUCCUAAGACGAGCGGGAGAAGCAUUGUUAAGGAACUCGGCAAAUUGACCCCGUAACUUCGGAAUAAGGGGUGCCUAUGUAAAAGUAGGCCGCAGAGAAUAGGCCCAAGCAACUGUUUAACAAAAACACAGGUUUCUGCUAAAUCGAAAGAUGAAGUAUAGGAGCUGACGCCUGCCCAGUGCUGGAAGGUUAAGGGGAAGAGUUAAGACUUGAUCUGAAGCUUAGAACCAAAGCCCCAGUGAACGGCGGCCGUAACUAUAACGGUCCUAAGGUAGCGAAAUUCCUUGUCAGGUAAGUUCUGACCCGC
This 1943-nucleotide ribosomal RNA is filed under the name human gut metagenome. RNAcentral's name for it is "bacterial LSU rRNA". It matches the Rfam family "Bacterial large subunit ribosomal RNA", at positions 3 to 1991 of the family's 2925-position model. The record is from RNAcentral.